AGGAAUUUAGGAUUACUAUUAAACCGGAUACUUUCAACGUAACAAAAAAGAGCGCAAGCUCUUAAUUCCUG
This 71-nucleotide transfer RNA is filed under the name Xenagama taylori. RNAcentral's name for it is "tRNA-Trp". The record is from RNAcentral. Lineage: Eukaryota; Metazoa; Chordata; Lepidosauria; Squamata; Agamidae.